This 465-nucleotide long non-coding RNA is filed under the name Struthio camelus australis. RNAcentral describes it as "lncRNA (ENSSCUG00000003922.1)". The record is from RNAcentral. Lineage: Eukaryota; Metazoa; Chordata; Aves; Struthioniformes; Struthionidae.
AAAAUACUCUGAAAUGACUACAGACUUCUGCUUUAGACCUUUAUAUGGUAAACUGCCCAUGUUGUUUCAGAUCCUUAAUUAGCCCCAGCUGGCCUGGCUGGGAUGAAGAGUAGUUAGCUAUAAAUUGAAAAGAUUACGAAAUGGGUGUCUGUCACUCUCCCUUUUUCAAUUUUCUUUUUGUUGUUUGGAAGAAGAGCAUGUUGUGCUGAUUCUAAAGAAAGAAAAAUACCAUUUGCAUCGUGUUUUGUCCUUCAGCAAUAGAAAGGAAUUUUCAGCAUACCAGAACAAAUCAAAUUUUAUUCCAUGUAUACAAGAGGAAAGAAAUGACAAGUUAUGGAGUUGGAGACCCUACAGAAAACAAAAUAGAGGUAAGCAGCUCUGUACAGAAACUUGCAAUUUUUCAGUAAGUAAGAAACUGUAAUUUCUGGAGUGGGAAUUGGUAUAGAUUCCAAGAAUGGUCUUAGA